Non-coding RNA from Apodemus sylvaticus (European woodmouse), 734 nucleotides. The record is from the annotation of a RefSeq genome assembly. Lineage: Eukaryota; Metazoa; Chordata; Mammalia; Rodentia; Muridae.
CAGGUCUUCUCAGGCCUGUAUCUUGAUCUACACAAACUAAAAUCUCAAAGAUGGUGUCCAUACCUCAGUUCUUUGGACUUCUGCUUUUCUGGAUUUCGGCCUCCAGAGGAGACAUUGUGCUGACUCAGUCUCUAGCCAUCCUGUCUGUAAAUCCAGGAGAUAAAGUCACUAUUUCCUACAGGGCCAGCCAGAGUAUUAACAAGAACCUACACUGGUAUCAACAAAAAUCACAGAAGUCUCCAAGGCUUCUCAUCAAGUAUGCUUCUGAGUCCAUCUCUUGGAUUCCCUCGAGGUUCAGUGGUGGUGGAUCAGGGACAGAUUUCACUCUCAGUAUCAACAGUGUGGAUCCUGAAGAUUUUUCAGUUUAUUAUUGUCAACAGAGUAACAACUUUCCUCCCACAGUGAUGCAGAGCAUAGCAAAAUCCACCAAGAAAGCAGAAGUGUAAGGCUGGGCUUCUUUAGCUGUUCUUGGUGGAGCCUCAGCCUAUUUCAAAGUGUUUCACAGAUGGAGCCACGUUUGAGGUUUACAGAAAUGUGUGAAAUAAAGAAGCUUCAAAGACCCCUUGUACCUGAUUUCACUUUACCCUAUUUUAGCACUAGAGUACAUAGCCUACAAUUGUCCUGAUAUAAACCGACAAUCUUCUGCCCAUGUCCUACAAUCAGAGAAAAUCUCAUCCUUGACAGACAGAAGAAAUGAUUGAUUAUUCCAUAUCUUUAUAGUUGUUGGAAAUUCA